This 268-nucleotide unclassified non-coding RNA is filed under the name Hevea brasiliensis (rubber tree). The record is from RNAcentral. Lineage: Eukaryota; Viridiplantae; Streptophyta; Magnoliopsida; Malpighiales; Euphorbiaceae.
UGGCAACACCCACGGUCAAGGCGAUCGUGCCGGCGAUCCAGAUCCAGACCUGCGCCAGCGCGAUACGCGAAACUUCCAGCGCCGGGUGAAGGCGAUAGAAAAUCCCGAACAGAAACAACGACACCCAGCCCAGCAGGUUGAGGUGAGCGUGCGCGGGCAUGGAGGAAUGGUCCUGCGACAUCGCCAUGACGAUGCCCCAGGACAUGCCGACCAGAACCGCGAUGACAGCGGCGAAAAAACUCAAUGACGAAGCUUUCACGGAAAUCUC